GUAGGUGAACCUGCGGAAGGAUCAUUAACACGGAUCCAAACGUUAAAACCCCCCUGUGAACCUUCAACACCAAUAAGGGUCCUGCAAAUAGUUUGGGGCAACCCCUAGUCAAUCAUUGUCUGAAUCACAUUUUGAGUUAGGGGCUUCUCUGGGCACCGCGGUGAGCAGGUUUAGCUAUUUGCGUCCCUGGCGGCUCUGAAGUGACUUCCACUGUCUGAAAGUGUCAGUGUACUUGCGUACGGAGUUGGCGCAGUCAACGAAUCAAGGGGCCGACACGGCCCUGCGACCGGGACCCUUUGAGCGGGUAAAACGGCUCCACCAAGAUGAAAACCUUGCAUGACAUGAACGGCCGGCGCCGACAGGUUGUAGGCACAAAAAAACGAACAACUGUUAACAAUGGAUAUCUUGGCUCUC
This 414-nucleotide unclassified non-coding RNA is filed under the name rhizosphere metagenome. RNAcentral's name for it is "partial ribosomal RNA internal transcribed spacer region". The record is from RNAcentral.